Molecule: ribosomal RNA, 440 nt
Filed under: uncultured bacterium
Lineage: Bacteria
Description: partial 16S ribosomal RNA
Rfam family: Bacterial small subunit ribosomal RNA
Source: RNAcentral
CCUACGGGAGGCAGCAGUGGGGGAUAUUGCACAAUGGGGGAAACCCUGAUGCAGCGACGCCGCGUGUGGGAAGACGGUCCUCUGGAUUGUAAACCACUGUCCCCAGGGACGAAGAUGACGGUACCUUGGGAGGAAGCUCCGGCUAACUACGUGCCAGCAGCCGCGGUAAGACGUAGGGAGCAAGCGUUGUCCGGAAUUACUGGGUGUAAAGGGAGCGUAGGCGGGAUGGAAAGGUGGGUGUAAAAUGUACCGGCUCAACUGGUAGUCGCACUCGAAACUGCUAUUCUUGAGUGAAGUAGAGGCAGGCGGAAUUCCUGGUGUAGCGGUGAAAUGCGUAGAUAUUAGGAGGAACACCAGUGGCGAAGGCGGCCUGCUGGGCUUUUACUGACGCUGAGGCUCGAAAGUGUGGGGAGCAAACAGGAUUAGAUACCCUGGUAGUC